AAAAACAACUAAUGCAGUAAUAAGUCUCGACCCAGGCUUCACGGAGUAAUUUCUUUCUUUUUUUGUAUCGAGAUCAAAUGUGUGCAAGACUGACAGCAGUGAACGUGGGGAAAAUUUGUGGAAUAAAAGAGGAGAAGGAGCGACAACUGGACGCUGUUUUCAAACAGCCUCGAGUUGUCUUGCACUGAGCAGGCAUUGCUGAAGAUCUUGAGCAUCAGGAGCCAAAACAUUCACCUCACAUUAAAGAGGAAGAGGAGCCAGAGCCUGCACACAAUAAAGUGGAAGAAGAGCCAAACACCCACACAUUAAAGAGGAGGAGCAGGAGGACGAUAUCACCAAGUUCUCAUUGACUGAUGUCAUUGUGAAGAGUGAAGAAAGGGAUGCAGACCACUGUGGAAAAUCCCAAUGAGAUGGCCUCUUAGCUCCUUGAUCAGAUAGUGACGACAGGUCACAUUCCUCUGUUGAAGAUGAUGACGACGACGAUGAUGGGAAUGAACACUCCAAAGACGCCGUCAGUAAAGAUCUUCAUCUUGAGGAGCAGGGGCCAGAGCCUCGUUACAUUAAAGAAGAGGAGGGAGAGCUCAACAAGCUUUCAUUUAUUGUGUCAUUGUGAAGAGUGAAGAUGAAGAAGAUGGUGAUGCAGACCACUGUGGCGGAUCCCAAGCAAGCAGCUUAUUAGCUCCACUAUCAGAUAGUGAUGACAUUACAUCACGCUCUUCUGACACUGAUGAGGAUGAACACUUUAAAGAUGAUAUGACAUAUCACACUGACAACAAACACUGGAAAUGUUUUCAGUGCGACAAAACAUUUGUCAAAAAGUCAACGUUGGAAAGAGAUAGAUGUCACGAAGGAGAAAAACCCUUUAGAUGCUCAUUGUGUAAUAAGAGAUUCACACAGAAGGGACAGUUAGGAGCACACGCAAGAAGACACACUGGAGAGAAACUUUUUGCCUGCUCAUUACUGCAACUUGAGUUUUGUUGAUCGUUCAAAUUUAAUCCGACAUUGCAAAACACACACCGGAGAGAAACCUUUUACCUGUUCAGUUUGUGGUAAAAGAUUCACUCAGAAGGCAAAUUUGGAAGCACACACAAGAAUACACACAGGUGAAAAACCUUUUUCUUGUUUAGUCCGCAAAAAAACGUUUCAGUGAUCAUUCAUCAUUUGUUCGACACAAAAGAACUCACAUUGGUGAGAAACCUUUUCUUUGCUCAGUGUGUGGUAGAAGUUUUUCUGAAAAGGCACAUUUUGUAGUACACACAAGAACACACUGGUGAAAAAACAUUUUCCUGUUCGGUUUGUAACAGAAGUUUUAAGGCUUUUUCAACAUUUUCUCGGCAACAAAGAAAGCAUACUGGUGAGAAACCUUUUACCUGCUCACUGUGUGAUAAAAGGUUUUCCUUCAAGACAUUUUUUUUUGGCACACACCAAGGCCUUUUUCCUGUUCAGUCUGUAACAAAAGUUUCAGUAGUCAUUCAACAUUGGUUCAACACCAAAGAAGUCAUACUGGUGACAAACCGCAUUCUUGCUCAGUGUGCGUUAUGAGAUUAAUUUAUCGUUCACAUUUAGAAUGACACGAAAGAACCCAUACAGGUGAAAAAGUGUUCAGUUGGAAGGAAGUUGUGUUGAAGUUUGUCUUCCUGAAGAAGUAAAUGCCUAAUUAUUAAAUAAAAAAAUAUCCACAUUAAUAUAACAGGAACUAUGAAAUUCUAAAAAAAGUUGUUAAAAUGAGGAGAGGGAAAAGAAAGAAAAUAAUAUUUGUAUGCAUAAUGUCAACAAAGAUGAUUAUAAUACUGGGCAUUUGUUGACAAGAUACAGUGUAGUUUUGUAUUAGUUUAAUGUGUAGUGGAGUAUAGGAGACACACAUUUUGUCUUAAUUUUUCAUAAUUUAAACCUUUUCCCACGAGUCUUAAUAACAUGUCUGGCAUGUGUUCAUCAUAGUUUCCCAAGGAUCAAGAAUUAUAGAUGUAUUUUUACAGCAUAUUUCUUGCUAAGGUGGAUUUGGUUCAUUUUAGGGGUGGAUCUGUCUCAUGCGGUCUCGGCGCCCUUUGUACGAUGUCAAUGCACCGGACUCUUGCUAUAUUAGUCAUUCAAACUGCUCUAAAUGAUAGAGGACUCUGCAUCUUUUUGCACAAUUGUCAAAAAAUAAGAAUAAUUGUACCGGCAUUACCAUAUAAUGAGCAACCCUUUAUUACUCAGUGACUGUUUUUCUCAAUGUCUAUGUCUAAAGUGUUCUCUGACAAUUGACUGUCUGUUGUCGUACUAGAGUGGCUCCAAACACCGGAGACAAAUUCCUUGUGUGUUUUUUGGACAUACU
This is a long non-coding RNA of Phyllopteryx taeniolatus (common seadragon), 2314 nucleotides long. RefSeq lists it as uncharacterized. The transcript is spliced from 3 exons. The record is from RefSeq and is a predicted model, not a curated record. NCBI's taxonomy places the organism in Eukaryota, Metazoa, Chordata, Actinopteri, Syngnathiformes, Syngnathidae.